CUCUUUUUUCUCUAUUUCUCUCUUUGAAUAGAGCCACAAACUAAAUUCAGGUGUUCGUCAUGUUUUGCCUGGAAAAUUACUGAAUAUUCAAUGCUCUGAGUAUAGUUUCUCAAAGCCACCAAACUGUGUUGGAAAAGAGGCAACCCUCAUCUGAAAAUUAUCUAUGCCAAUAAAAUAUCAAGGCUAGUCUGUAAUAUCCCUAUCACUUCUCCAGUCUCACUACUUUCUGAACUGCAUGCUUUUCAUUUUCUCUUAGUGAUGAAGGGAAAGGAAAGGAAAGGAAAGGAAAGGAAAGGAAAGGAAAGGAAAGGAAAGGAAAGGAAAGGAAAGGAAAGGAAAGGAAAGGAAAGGAAGGGAGGGAGGAAGGAAGGAAGGGAGGAAGGAAGGAAGGAAGGAAGGGGGAGAGAGAAAGAAAGAAAGAAAGAAAGAAAGAAAGAAAGAAAGAAAGAAAGAAAGAAAGAAAGAAAGAAAGAAAGAAAGAAAGAAAGAAAGAAAGAAAGAAAGAAAGAAAGAAAGAAAGAAAGAAAGAAAGAAAGAAAGAAAGAAAGAAAGAAAGAAAGAAAGAAAGAAAGAAAGAAAGAAAGAAAGAAAGAAAGAAAGAGGGACAAUCCCUGCCCUCAAAGAGCUUACAAUCUAAUGGUGAAAACAGCAC
This 652-nucleotide long non-coding RNA is filed under the name Monodelphis domestica (gray short-tailed opossum). Its description in RNAcentral is "lncRNA (ENSMODG00000040032.1)". Lineage: Eukaryota; Metazoa; Chordata; Mammalia; Didelphimorphia; Didelphidae. The record is from RNAcentral.